GGGGCUGUAACUCAACGGCUAGAGUGCCUCCCUGUCUAGGAGGAAGUUGGGAGUUCGAAUCUCCUCAGCCUCG
This 73-nucleotide transfer RNA is filed under the name Synechococcus phage S-H34. RNAcentral's name for it is "tRNA-Asp". It matches the Rfam family "tRNA". Rfam says of the family: Transfer RNA (tRNA) molecules are approximately 80 nucleotides in length. Their secondary structure includes four short double-helical elements and three loops (D, anti-codon, and T loops). Lineage: Duplodnaviria; Heunggongvirae; Uroviricota; Caudoviricetes; Pantevenvirales; Kyanoviridae. The record is from RNAcentral.